AUGAUCACCAUGGACUUCAUAGACGGAUUACCCCAAUUAGGUCAACACAAUUGCAUUUGGGUCUUGGUCGAUUGGAUGACGAAAGUUUCCAAUUUUCUGCCUCUUGCCCACCCUUGCACAACUUCUCGUGUUGCUCUUCUAUUCAUGCAGCACAUCUAUCCUAUUCAUGGUUUCCCUCAUGCCAUUAUCUCUAAUCGAGACCCGACUUUCACUAGCCACUUAUGGCAAGAACUAUUUCACUAUGCCGACACCGAACUGCGCAUGAGCACAACAAAACACCCCCAGAUUGACGGGCCAUUCGAACGCGUCAAACAGUGUCUUGAAACUUUCCUUCGUUGCUUUACUCAUGCUUUCUCAGCGAUGGAGUCAUUGGUUCCCGCUUGCCCAGUUCUAGUAUAAUUCUUCACCCCACUCUGCUAUCGGAAUGCCCCCUCUAAAGCCAUGUUUGGGCACGAGCCUCAUCAUUGGGGGAUAACCACUGCAUCAGCUUGUUUGGUGCCCUCCCUGCACUCUUGGUUGGAUGAGCGCGCGGUCAUUCAGGUCCUGCUCCAGCAACAUCUAUCCCGUGCGCAGCACUGCAUGAAACAGCAGGCCGACCGACAACCUUCUGAACGCAACUUUGAGGUGGGCGACAAAGUGUUCUUAAAGCUUAACCCAUAUGUUCAAACAUUAGUGGCAAAACGAGCCAGUCACAAGCUCUCGUUCUGGUUCUACGGGCCCAUCCCCAUCAUCCGCAAGAUCAACGAAGUGGCAUACGAAAUGGAGCUACCACCACAAGCUACAGUUCACCCUGUAUUCCACGCUCCAUGCUACGUUGCGCGGUCCUCCCUGAUACGUCGGUCGAACCUCUGCUCCCUUUCGUUUCUGACAUGCCGACAGUACCACAAGCCAUCUUCGACACCCGCUGGAGGCGCAGGCACGGCGCCAUGGUCGAGCAAGUACUCUUGCGCUGGUCCGAUCGAGCCAAGAUCAACGACACUUGGGAAGACAAGACAGAGCUGCAAGCACACUUUCUUACUGCGGAGGCUUGGAGGCAAGCCUCAUCUCAGGGAGGGGGAAUGUCAGGUCCUCUGA
This 1074-nucleotide ribosomal RNA is filed under the name Triticum aestivum (bread wheat). Its description in RNAcentral is "partial small subunit ribosomal RNA". Lineage: Eukaryota; Viridiplantae; Streptophyta; Magnoliopsida; Poales; Poaceae. The record is from RNAcentral.